Molecule: ribosomal RNA, 253 nt
Filed under: uncultured bacterium
Lineage: Bacteria
Description: partial 16S ribosomal RNA
Rfam family: Bacterial small subunit ribosomal RNA
Source: RNAcentral
UACGUAGGGUGCAAGCGUUAAUCGGAAUUACUGGGCGUAAAGCGUGCGCAGGCGGUUGUGCAAGACAGAUGUGAAAUCCCCGGGCUCAACCUGGGAAUUGCAUUUGUGACUGUACGGCUAGAGUGUGUCAGAGGGGGGUAGAAUUCCACGUGUAGCAGUGAAAUGCGUAGAGAUGUGGAGGAAUACCGAUGGCGAAGGCAGCCCCCUGAGAUAACACUGACGCUCAUGCACGAAAGCGUGGGGAGCAAACAGG